AUGAUUCGGAAGCAGGUAUACAAAAUUUGGAACAAUGCAGAGAAGGUUAGCAUGAACCCUGGGCAAGGGUGAGAGACAAAUAUGUUAAACAUUCAAUAUUUAA
Molecule: small nuclear RNA, 103 nt
Organism: Suncus etruscus (white-toothed pygmy shrew)
Lineage: Eukaryota; Metazoa; Chordata; Mammalia; Eulipotyphla; Soricidae
Source: RefSeq, a predicted model, not a curated record